This 84-nucleotide small nuclear RNA is filed under the name Octodon degus (degu). Its description in RNAcentral is "U4 spliceosomal RNA (ENSODEG00000023727.1)". It matches the Rfam family "U4 spliceosomal RNA", at positions 1 to 83 of the family's 138-position model. From Rfam's summary of the family: U4 small nuclear RNA (U4 snRNA) is a component of the major U2-dependent spliceosome. The structure of U4 snRNA from yeast and human has been reported. U4 snRNA presents a k-turn RNA motif in the 5p-SL related to recognition of Snu13 protein. The record is from Rfam by way of RNAcentral. Lineage: Eukaryota; Metazoa; Chordata; Mammalia; Rodentia; Octodontidae.
AGCUUUGUGCAGUGGCAGUAUCAUAGCCAAUGAGGUUUAUCCGAGGCGCGAUUAUUGCUAAUUGAAACUCUAUUACAAAUCUAC